UGUCUUUCAAGAUCUUCUCAUCAUAGUUAAUUAUUUUAGAGAAUAUACAAGCUGAUAUUUCAGUCACCAGAAUAUGCCUGGACCUGGCAAACUACGGGAGCUAUACAGUCCAGUAGUGGCAAGAUGUCAAGAUCGUUUGAAACUAUGAAAAAAGGAUUCAGCUUGAGAUGCUCCAGAUUGCAUCAAACACCAUGCAUGCUAUCAGGAUGAUGUGGACCAGCUUCAUAUUAUACCAGCCGCAAUAGACCAGAUGGGAGGGGAUAACGUUGAAGGAGCUCUCUCAACAUCAACAAUCCUCACUGUUUCGGCAACCUCCCAGCAAGCAACACGCCAGCGGCUCACCAGCGGCCCAAAGGCGGCUAGUCGCUUGUAUGCACUAAACCCAGCGGGA
Molecule: long non-coding RNA, 391 nt
Organism: Esox lucius (northern pike)
Lineage: Eukaryota; Metazoa; Chordata; Actinopteri; Esociformes; Esocidae
Exons: 3
Source: RefSeq, a predicted model, not a curated record